AUUACCGCGGCUGCUGGCACGUAGUUACCCGGUGCUUUUUUCGAAGGUACCGUCACCCGAAGGCUUCUUCCCAACUAAAAGAGGUUUACAACCCGAAGGCCGUCGUCCCUCACGCGGCGUUGCUGCAUCAGGCUUGCGCCCAUUGUGCAAUAUUCCCCACUGCUGCCUCCCGUAGG
This 176-nucleotide ribosomal RNA is filed under the name Microbacterium gubbeenense. Its description in RNAcentral is "partial 16S ribosomal RNA". Lineage: Bacteria; Bacillati; Actinomycetota; Actinomycetes; Micrococcales; Microbacteriaceae. The record is from RNAcentral.